GGCCUCUGUGUGCAGAGGCCAUUCACCAAAUGUUACCACUCGCCGGUAGGCUGCAUUAAGCGUCUUCGCCUCUGUACCAGAAGUUCUUUGCACACAUCUAGCGGCAUUCUUCUGAACAGCCGGAGUGCAGAACCACUUCAUUUUAAGCUGUGUUUGUUAAACGCAUGACUAUGAGAUGUGAGCUUAAAGGAGGAGGGAGGAAGUGAAAGGAGGAACCAGCCCCGCCUCCAGUCUGCACCCCCUGGUUCCCACCGGGUAGCACCUCCAUCCCACCCACCGUCGCUGAACACCUACCCUGUGUCCCAGGUGCCAGGGGAUGCUGUGAGAGCACUUACGACGAUCCGACCUUCUCCUAUAAACUGGCUUAUUUACCUGCUGUCUGCCCCCCUCGCCACAGCUGGAGCACUGGAGGAGGGCCUGCACUCAGCGGGUGUUCAGUCAACAGCCGAGGAAUGAAGGAAUGAAAUGCCCCGUGCACACUCCACGAGGUUUUUAUUGUCACACAUCGCUUAUCGCCAUCACGAGUCCUCUCCUCGCUCCCCUGCCUCACCCAGGGGCUCCUGAGAACCUCGGGGAGGUCUCCCUCAGCUACAAAC
This 596-nucleotide long non-coding RNA is filed under the name Equus asinus (donkey). RNAcentral's name for it is "lncRNA (ENSEASG00005026918.1)". The record is from RNAcentral. Lineage: Eukaryota; Metazoa; Chordata; Mammalia; Perissodactyla; Equidae.